This 269-nucleotide long non-coding RNA is filed under the name Mustela putorius furo (domestic ferret). RNAcentral describes it as "lncRNA (ENSMPUG00000024193.1)". The record is from RNAcentral. Lineage: Eukaryota; Metazoa; Chordata; Mammalia; Carnivora; Mustelidae.
AUUCUUUUCCGUGGACAAGCCAAGAGGAUGCGUUACAAAGCCGGCAGUGCGAUUUUAUUCUUAGGUAAUCUCUACACCCAAUGUGGGGCUCGAUCUGACUUCACAACCCUGAGAUCAGGAGUUGCCUGUCCACAGGACUAAGCCAGCCUGACACCCCAGUGAUCACAGUUUAAAUUGUGCCCACUUGCCUGCCUCCCCAAGUAUAUGUGCUUCAAGAAUCACACGGAUGGAAUUCUAAUGGUGGAAGGUAAGCCAUAUAAGAGGGGCCA